AUGGCUCAGAUUGAACGCUGGCGGCAGGCCUAACACAUGCAAGUCGAGCGGAUGAAGGGAGCUUGCUCUNUGAUUCAGCGGCGGACGGGUGAGUAAUGCCUAGGAAUCUGCCUGGUAGUGGGGGACAACGUUCCGAAAGGAGCGCUAAUACCGCAUACGUCCUACGGGAGAAAGUGGGGGAUCUUCGGACCUCACGCUAUCAGAUGAGCCUAGGUCGGAUUAGCUAGUAGGUGGGGUAAUGGCUCACCUAGGCGACGAUCCGUAACUGGUCUGAGAGGAUGAUCAGUCACACUGGAACUGAGACACGGUCCAGACUCCUACGGGAGGCAGCAGUGGGGAAUAUUGGACAAUGGGCGAAAGCCUGAUCCAGCCAUGCCGCGUGUGUGAAGAAGGUCUUCGGAUUGUAAAGCACUUUAAGUUGGGAGGAAGGGCAGUAAGUUAAUACCUUGCUGUUUUGACGUUACCAACAGAAUAAGCACCGGCUAACUUCGUGCCAGCAGCCGCGGUAAUACGAAGGGUGCAAGCGUUAAUCGGAAUUACUGGGCGUAAAGCGCGCGUAGGUGGUUUGGUAAGAUGGAUGUGAAAUCCCCGGGCUCAACCUGGGAACUGCAUCCAUAACUGCCUGACUAGAGUACGGUAGAGGGUGGUGGAAUUUCCUGUGUAGCGGUGAAAUGCGUAGAUAUAGGAAGGAACACCAGUGGCGAAGGCGACCACC
Molecule: ribosomal RNA, 715 nt
Filed under: Pseudomonas citronellolis
Lineage: Bacteria; Pseudomonadati; Pseudomonadota; Gammaproteobacteria; Pseudomonadales; Pseudomonadaceae
Description: bacterial SSU rRNA
Rfam family: Bacterial small subunit ribosomal RNA
Source: RNAcentral